Molecule: long non-coding RNA, 551 nt
Filed under: Homo sapiens (human)
Lineage: Eukaryota; Metazoa; Chordata; Mammalia; Primates; Hominidae
Description: HSALNT0280082
Source: RNAcentral
CAACUUUCUUGAAGUAAAUUCUGCUGGGAGGGAGCUGCCCAAGUUCAGCCUGCCUGUGCUCAGCUCAAUGAGUGCUUUCCAGCAGCCUUGAAUUUCCAAGGGUUUCUCUGCUGGUCUUAAAGGUCUCUGUGAGCAGGGAACGUGCUGGCUGAGCAAGUCUCUGAGAAGAUAAUUCAACCAGGCUGUUGGAAGAUGUUGACUAAUUCCCAAUUGUUGCAAAAUCUGUGAAGAUCUAACGUCCCUGCAGGAAAUGCACGUCCCAGUGACCUCAUGGUACCCAAGGGCCAACCCCCUUCCAACUGGCCCUCUUUAAUGAGCCUUGCAAGUCCAGGUUGCCUAUAAUGCUUUACAAUUAUGAAGGAUAAUGCUACCAGGAAUAUCUUCAUCUGUGUGGCUUUUUCAUGGUCUGAAGCAUUCCUUCAAGAUCCAUGCUCUGAUAUUGUGAGACUGCCAGGAGCUUUGAUACACUGCACCAAACUGUUUGACCAGAGUUGAAGCAUUUAAUAAGGAUCCCGACAACAAACAAAACAGCCAGCUAGCACACUAAGGCC